Molecule: ribosomal RNA, 380 nt
Filed under: bacterium M2A-304-16S
Lineage: Bacteria
Description: bacterial SSU rRNA
Rfam family: Bacterial small subunit ribosomal RNA
Source: RNAcentral
GGCGAACGGGUGAGUAACACGUGGGCAAUCUGCCCUUCACUUCGGGACAAGCCCUGGAAACGGGGUCUAAUACCGGAUAUCACUUCCACGGGCAUCUGUGGGGGUUGAAAGCUCCGGCGGUGAAGGAUGAGCCCGCGGCCUAUCAGCUUGUUGGUGAGGUAGUGGCUCACCAAGGCGACGACGGGUAGCCGGCCUGAGAGGGCGACCGGCCACACUGGGACUGAGACACGGCCCAGACUCCUACGGGAGGCAGCAGUGGGGAAUAUUGCACAAUGGGCGAAAGCCUGAUGCAGCGACGCCGCGUGAGGGAUGACGGCCUUCGGGUUGUAAACCUCUUUCAGCAGGGAAGAAGCGAAAGUGACGGUACCUGCAGAAGAAGC